Molecule: long non-coding RNA, 510 nt
Filed under: Ananas comosus (pineapple)
Lineage: Eukaryota; Viridiplantae; Streptophyta; Magnoliopsida; Poales; Bromeliaceae
Description: long non-coding RNA (ACOM_LNC034960)
Source: RNAcentral
GAGAUAAUUGUAUAUAUCCCUAAAAUAUCUAUUUUUUUUUUCCAAUAUAACCAUCAUAUGUUCCUUUGCUAUUAAAAGAGAUAAAGUAUUUCGACAGUUACAAUUCGUUAAGUUAUCUCAGAUUAAAUGUGAGUUAAAUGUCUAUCAAAGUUAAAAAAAAUAAAAUACUUUUUUUGUCCUUAACUUAGGAUAAAUAAAAAAAAUGAUGAUAAUAACUGGGUAUAUUUGAAAAAAUAAAAAAUUAAAAUAUUUCUUUUGCUCCUAAUUUAUGGAUAAAUAGGAAAAGUUGGUAAUAAUAAAAGGUUAUAUUUAAAGGAUAAAAUAAUAAUUUUAUAGAUAUAAUGAUUAUUAGUAAUAAUUUACUAUUAAAAUUUAACUUUAGUAAUAUAUUUGAAAUAAUUUAAAACGUAAAAAAAUAUUUUUAAUAUUAAUCUCAUAAGAAGGAUAAAUUAAAAUUUUAAGUUUUUUUUAGGAGUAUAUAAGUAAUUGUUCUUAAAAUAAAAAUAAAAA